Molecule: ribosomal RNA, 382 nt
Filed under: uncultured eukaryote
Lineage: Eukaryota
Description: partial 18S ribosomal RNA
Rfam family: Eukaryotic small subunit ribosomal RNA
Source: RNAcentral
UGUAAGCGUAUACCAAAGUUGUUGCAGUUAAAACGCUCGUAGUCGGAAUUUGGCAGUUCCGGAUGUGUGCACGUCGUGUGCGCACUUCGCGGGGAUUGCUUUUGUGGUCUUGCGUAGGAUGAGGCACUUUUAUUAGUGAACGUCCUCACGCAACCACUUUUUACUGUGAGAAAAUCAGAGUGCUCAAAGCAGGCAUUUGCCGUGAAUAUAUUAGCAUGGAAUAAUAGAAUAGGACUUGGUUCUAUUUUGUUGGUUUGUUGGGACUGAGUAAUGAUUAAGAGGGACAGUUGGGGGCAUUUGUAUUUCGGUGCUAGAGGUGAAAUUCUUAGAUUACCGAAAGACAAACUGCUGCGAAAGCGUCUGCCAAGGAUGUUUUCAUUGA